This 497-nucleotide ribosomal RNA is filed under the name uncultured bacterium. Its description in RNAcentral is "partial 16S ribosomal RNA". It matches the Rfam family "Bacterial small subunit ribosomal RNA", at positions 28 to 507 of the family's 1533-position model. The record is from RNAcentral.
GGUGAACGCUGGCGGCGGGCCUAAUACAUGCAAGUCGAGCGAACAGACGGUGAGCUUUCUCCCCUGACGUUAGCGGCUGGCGGGUGAGUAACACGUGGAUAACCUACUUAUAAUACUUGGAGGACUUCGGAAAACCGGAUCCAAUACCAGAUAAUAUGUCGAACGGCAUGGUGCAGUAGUGCAUGACACCUUGCCUGUCACAUUUAGAUGGAUCCGCGCCGCAUUGUCUAGUUGGUAAGGUAACGGCCUACCAAGGCAACGUUGCGUAGCCGAGCUGAGAGGGUGAUCGGCCAAAACGGAACUGAGACACGGUUCAGAAUCCUAAGGGAGGGAGGAGUAGGGAAUCUUCCGCCAUGGGCGAAAACUUGAAGGCGCCAAGCCGGGUGAGUGGUGAAGGUCUUCCGAUUGUAAAACCCUGUUAUUAGGGAAGAAAAAAUGUGUAAUUAACUACGCACGUUUUGGCGGUACCUAAUAAGAAAGGCACGGCUAAAUACGUG